Molecule: ribosomal RNA, 469 nt
Filed under: uncultured bacterium
Lineage: Bacteria
Description: partial 16S ribosomal RNA
Rfam family: Bacterial small subunit ribosomal RNA
Source: RNAcentral
GACGAACGCUGGCGGCGUGCUUAACACAUGCAAGUCGAACGGAAAGGCCCUGCUUGCCGGGUGCUCGAGUGGCGAACGGGUGAGUAACACGUGGGUGAUCUGCCCCUUACUUUGGGAUAAGCCUGGGAAACUGGGUCUAAUACUGGAUAGGACCAUGCUGUAGGUGGUGUGGUGGAAAGAUUAGUUUCGGUAAGGGAUGAGCUCGCGGCCUAUCAGCUUGUUGGUGGGGUAAUGGCCUACCAAGGCGUCGACGGGUAGCCGGCCUGAGAGGGUGGACGGCCACAUUGGGACUGAGAUACGGCCCAGACUCCUACGGGAGGCAGCAGUGGGGAAUAGUGCACAAUGGGCGCAAGCCUGAUGCAGCGACGCCGCGUGGGGGAUGACGGCCUUCGGGUUGUAAACUCCUUUCAGCCAUGACGAAGCCCUUGUGGUGACGGUAGUGGUAGAAGAAGCACCGGCUAACUACGUG